GCAGAGUAGACCACAAUGCGUAAAGUGCCGCCGAGACGGGGAGUUGUUCGGUGGACGAAAGGGAGUUUUCCCUGCGGUAUUGUGAUCGCAUCCCGCUGC
Molecule: non-coding RNA, 99 nt
Filed under: Agathobaculum desmolans
Lineage: Bacteria; Bacillati; Bacillota; Clostridia; Eubacteriales; Butyricicoccaceae
Description: THF riboswitch
Rfam family: THF (Tetrahydrofolate) riboswitch aptamer
About the family: THF riboswitch presents a pseudoknot that joins P1-P2 and the loop of P3 and two THF binding.
Source: RNAcentral